AUUUAUAUAGUUUAAUAAAACAUUACACUUUCACUGUAAAGAUAAAGAAAAACUUUUAUAAAUA
This 64-nucleotide transfer RNA is filed under the name Procornitermes araujoi. RNAcentral's name for it is "tRNA-Glu". It matches the Rfam family "tRNA". Rfam says of the family: Transfer RNA (tRNA) molecules are approximately 80 nucleotides in length. Their secondary structure includes four short double-helical elements and three loops (D, anti-codon, and T loops). The record is from RNAcentral. Lineage: Eukaryota; Metazoa; Arthropoda; Insecta; Blattodea; Termitidae.